This 1423-nucleotide long non-coding RNA is filed under the name Mytilus galloprovincialis (Mediterranean mussel). Lineage: Eukaryota; Metazoa; Mollusca; Bivalvia; Mytilida; Mytilidae. The record is from RNAcentral.
AUAUAACUUAUGUUGUAAGUAUAAAAAACAAGUUUAAACCACAAGCAUUAUAAAUAAAUUAACAUUUAAAUGAUCAAUGUACAUGAGACGAAGGUGAGAUAAACCCUUUCAGACAGAAAUGUAGUUCAUGCACUCAUUCCAUACAACAAAUCUAGUUUACCUAUUGCUAAAAGUAUCUCCGAAUAAACCUCUUAAAAAAUAACCUUGACCAUGAAAUAUAGGUCAAGAUCAACUUACACCUACUUAACAGACAUACACACCUUACAAUUAUUCCCUACACCAAAUAUAGUUAUACUAUCCCUUUAGUAUCUGAAAGAAGGCCAAAUCAGAUAAAUGUAACAUUGGCCAAUGAACCAUGACCUUGAGGUCAAGGUCAAAUGAUUAUUGCCAGAAUGGAAUCCAUACACGAAAUAUAAUUGACUUCUGAGAAAUAGACCAUAUCACAAAUUUUUAAUUUGGCCAGUCAACCAUGAAAAAGAGGUCAAGGUCAGAUUAUUAUUGACAGACAGACAUGUACACCUUACAAACAUUCCAUACACCAAAUAUAAUUGACUGGAUACUUAUAGUAUCUGCAAAAUAGACCAAAACACCAAAAAAAUAUAUACUUUGACCACUGAAUCAUGAAAAUGAGGUCACGGUCAGAUGUCACCUGCCAGUUGGACAUGAACAACUUACAAUCAUUGCACAACCAAUUAUAGAAGACCUAUUGCUUUAUAGAUAUGGACUUAUAAAAAAGAAGAUGUGGUAUGAUUGCCAAUGAGACAACUAUCCACAAAAGACCAAAAUGACACAGACAUUAACAACUAUAGGUCAUCGUACGGCCUUCAACAAUGAGCAAAGCCCAUACCGCAUAGUCAGCUAUAAGAGGCCCCGAUAAGACACUGUAAAACAAUUCAAACGAGAAAACUAACGGCCUUAUUUAUGAAAAAAAAAAUGAACGAAAAACAAAUAUGUAACACAUAAACAAACAUUAACCUUGUUAACUGAUCCAUGCAAUGAUGUCGAGGCCAAGUGAAAACUGACUGACAGACAUGAGGACCUUGCAAGGUAGUACAUAUCAAAUAUACGGGUAUCCUAUUACUUAUAUUAAGCGAGAAAUUAUCAUUGCAAAAGAAAAAGAUUUUUUUUCUCAAGUAGUUACUGAACCAUGGAAAUGACGACAAGGAAAAUCGUCAUGACAGACGAAAAGUUCGUAACAUAAGGCAUCUAUAUAUAAAGUAUGAAUUAUCCAGGUCAUCUACCUUCUGGAAAAUAAAGCUUUUAAAUCAAGCGCUAACGCCACCGGAUCACUAUUCCUAAGUCUCGCUUUCUGCGACAGAAGUCGCUGGCGAGACAAAAACCCUGAAAGUAACGACUCUUAACGCUGUAAAGCAUGAUUCAGACUAACGUUUCACCGCACACACACCACCAUUCCCACGCUGAG